UUGGAGGGCAAGUCUGGUGCCAGCAGCCGCGGUAAUUCCAGCUCCAAUAGCGUAUAUUAAAGUUGUUGCAGUUAAAAAGCUCGUAGUUGAAUUUCGGGGUCAGCAGGUUGGUCGUGCCAAUGGUAUGAACUGGCCUUGCUGAUUCCUCCCUCUUGAUGAGCCGUAAUGCCAUUAAUUUGGUGUUGCGGGGAGUCAGGACUGUUACUUUGAAAAAAUUAGAGUGUUUAAAGCAGGCAAGCGCUUGAAUACAUUAGCAUGGAAUAAUGAAAUAGGACGUUUGAUCCUAUUUUGUUGGUUUCUAGGAUUGACGUAAUGAUUAAUAGGGAUAGUUGGGGGCAUUAGUAUUCAAUUGUCAGAGGUGAAAUUCUUGGAUUUAUUGAAGACUGACUACUGCGAAAGCAUUUGCCAAGGAUGUUUUCAUUAAUCAAGAACGAAAGUUAGGGGAUCGAAGACGAUCAGAUACCGUCGUAGUCUUAACCAUAAACUAUGCCGACUAGGGAUCGGAUGAUGUUAAUUUUUUAAUGACUCAUUCGGCGCCUUACGGGAAAC
RNAcentral lists this ribosomal RNA (549 nucleotides) under uncultured Glomus. Its description in RNAcentral is "SSU rRNA". It matches the Rfam family "Eukaryotic small subunit ribosomal RNA", at positions 548 to 1098 of the family's 1831-position model. The record is from RNAcentral. Lineage: Eukaryota; Fungi; Glomeromycota; Glomeromycetes; Glomerales; Glomeraceae.